GCCCUAGUCUGAUGAGUAUUCCGUACCCACUAUUCUAUUUUGGUAUCCGUAAAUAGGCAUACAGUAAAUUGCAAUUGCUUACAUUUUCUUUCAACUAUUUGAAGGGUUUUGUAUAGUUGCAUGUUUAUUUGUACCAUUUGGAGAGUAGCCAACCAAUGCCAUUCUGAUUUGUAUAUAGUCCAAUUGCUAAACUAUAUAGACUGCAUAAACAUGCAUCCAUUAAUUAAACUUAAAUUAAAAUGUUGAUUACUGGACGUACAUUCAACUGCAGUCUAGCACUACUACUCCUAUUCAGAGAAUAUGCCAUUACUCAUCAAAACCAGGUUGGAAUGUGUUGGAAAAUCCCUCAGCCAUAACCCUAAAGGAUAUGUGUGCAUUCAACUUCAUUCAAAGGCUCAGACUGAUCCAUCAACAAGUUGCACAGGCUCAAUUUUCCGUCAAACUUUUGGGGCACUGGGCAAAUUUGAGGUCUUGUGAGCUUAAACUUGAACUUGUGCAACUUCCAGCACGCGUUUACAGUGAACGCUGAGGCUGUACCCUGACGCUGUAGCCAAAAGGCUAUUUGAGCAUAAUGUUGGCCUACCAACAAAACCAUUAGAGCAAAUCCAAUAGCAGUUUCACAUGGAAAUAGCUUUUGAUUUCUAUGAAGUCGCCUAUAUUCAGGCCUACAUUGCAUGAGACUUUUUAAAACGUUUUUACGUUAUGAAAGGCUUGAUAUAAAAAUGUUUUAACUUGGUCUGUAACACCACGGGCCAAAUAGGUGACUGUAAAUUGCAUUGUGUUGUGUUCCAUGAUGCAAGAAGCCACUUAACAAAAUAAAACAUUAUUACCAUACAGAGAAUUAGACAAUGGAUUAUGUGCCUGUCUCAAAAUACAACACAUAAGACAAACUUUUUUUUUUUUUACCUCUCUGGCUUUCAAAAGACAGCUUGAAAUGCAGCCUACAGGUUUAUACACUAACAUCAACAAAUGUGCACAAGCAUGGCUCAGCGCUGGAGAAGCACCUGACUGCAGUGUGCAGUUCGGGGCCCGGGCUCAAUAUGUGGCGGAGUCCAACGCGUUUAACCAGAACCCUUCCCGUCUCCUUCAAGGUCAGCCAAGUUGAGGUAAACAUCGACGGUGUCAACGAAACUUAAUCUUCAUCGAACCUAACCUACGUGGAUAAAAAAUAUAAACCAUGUAAGUGAGACUGUCAUUAUGCAUAAUGUACGUCGUAAUAUUCCUAUACCAGUGCAGUGGUAUAUUUUUACAUGACCAACUACCGCACCGAUGUUAGCAUAGCUUUCAUUAGCACCCAUUUGCACGUGAGCAAGCUAAUUGCUCACAAUGAGCGAAUCUUUACUUGGACACAUUUUCCUACAUGAGCAGUAAAGCCUAUUUCUUCAAUGUAUGCCUUGUUGUGUUUGACUGGCUCUAAAUGUGUAUUGUUGGAGCCAUUUACCUUAGUUACACAUAGCAAGUCUACACAGUAUAUACAAUAAUGAAAUCACCUGGUCCCAACAUACAUGGCAAGUCAAGAAAAGUAAUUGUAACUUGUCCACACAGCAAACCUAAGUAAAAUAAGAACAACUUCAAAACACAUUUACGAAGAAAGCAUACACAUUGCUUUGAAACGGUGUCCAAGGAAAGAUUUUUGGCAUGUGAGUGCAUUGAUGUGAGAAAUGGUGUGUUUGCAGUCGAAAAGAAAUGUUCUGGUCCAGCAAAACCCAUACAUGUUGUGAAAUACUUGUGCUAAUUCAGUUCCAACUGUGUUCAAAACUGUUAUGCAUGCUGGAGUAUAAAAAGCUGUGGAAUUGUACUUUUUUUCUUUACUUUCACAAACACUGUGUUCACAGAAACAGUUGGGUCUUCUUCAUCCAGAAAUAUAUUCCUGGGGGGUAUUAUUACUAUUUACGAUUAUCAUUAUUGUUAUAACUAUCAAACUUAACAACCUACUCUUUCUUUACGUACAGUACGCUCUGUACAUUGCAAUGGAAGCAAAGUGUGAUUUCACUGAGGUAUGUAUAAAUUAUGACGUUCUCAUCACUAGCGGAUAUAAUGUUUUUUGGGAUCCCCAUCCGAUUGUGUGAUUUUCUUUUUCAAAGGAAAACAUGCAGCAAAUUAGGCGACGGUGGUGCCUAGUUCUCCUGCAGAACAUUCCCAUGCUGAUGAUGUAGAAGACACCUCCCCAAGAUGUCACAUCAGCAUCCAGCUCUGCAGGAUCAGGUACUGUAUAGGCUAUUAGCUAAAGUAAGGUGCAUUCUUGUACACACAUCCCUAGAGGUUCCCUUACAUUACUUAAUGACCACAAUCUGUUUUCUUUCUUGACAAUACUGAAAACAAACUGCGUGGCGAGCUGUGAACUGGGAAGUGGAUGUUCUUCUAAGGGACACCCUAGAGGCAGCAAGGUGGUUGAACUCCAAACAUUUAAAUCUACUGUUUCCCUCCCUAGAAAAUGGCUGUCUUUGCCUCUUUUUAGGAGCAGGAGUAAAGCCAUUUUUGAGCAGUGGUCAAACCUUGUUUUUGUCUGCUGUGUUAACACAAUUAAUAAUUGAAACAAUUAUGUUGUGUAAAGAUGAUGUAGAAGUCACCCGAGUCUCUGAUCUCUUUACUGGAGCUGGUAUAACUUAAUGUACAAAGCUUGUCAGUAUGUCUAUAUGGUAUUAUAUGCGGGCGAUUCCCUGAUCCACCUCUACGCAGACAACACCAUUCUGUAUACUUCUGGCCCUUCCCUGGACACUAUCAAACCUCCAAACGAGCUUCAAUGCCAUACAACACUCCUUCCAUGGCCUCCAACUGCUCUUAAACGCUAGUAAAACCAAAUGCAUGCUUUUGAACCAUUUGCUGCCUGCACCCGCACGCCCGACUAGCAUCACCACCCUGGAUGGUUCCGACCUAGAAUAUGUGGACAUGUAUAAGUACCUAGGUGUCUGGCUAGACUGUAAACUCUCCUUCCAGACUCCUAUCAAACAUCUCCAAUCCAAAAUCAAAUCUAGAAUCGGGUUUCUAUUUCAAACCGUCGGCUUUCUACUUCAAACCGUCCCCUCGCCCAAACCCGGGCGCGAACCAGGGACCCUCUGCACACAUCAACAACGGUCACCCAUGAAGCAUCGUUACCCAUCGCUCCACAAAAGCCGCGGCCCUUGCAGAGCAAGGGGACCCACUACUUCAAGGUCUCAACAAGACAAGAUUGAAACGCUAUUUAACGCGCACCACCGCUAACUAGCUAGCAGUUUCACAUCCGUUACACUUGUAUACCAUGGGUUUGACACAGUGUAUACAAAACAUUAGGACACCUGCUCUUUCCAUGACAGACCGACCUGGUGAAUCCAGGUGAAAGCUAUGAUCCCUUUUUGAUGUCACUUGUUAAAUCCACUUCAAUCAGUGUAGAUAAAGGGGAGGAAACUGGUUAAAGAAGGAUUUGGUCGUAGGUGCCAGGCGCACCAGUUUGUGUCAAGCACUGCAAUGCUGCUGGGUUUUUCACGCUAAACAGUUUUCCGUGUUAAUCAACAAUCGUCCACCACCCUAGGAACAUCCCGUCAACUUGACACAGCUGUGGGAAGCAUCGGAUGGGGGUGCAACUCUAUUAGGAAGGUGUUUAUGUUUAGUAUACUCAGUGUAUGUGUACCUAUGUUAGCAAAUUGUGUAAGCAAAAAUUACAGUAACACACCAUGUGUUAACCUAUUAUGACUGGAGCAGACCAGCCCUGCUGGCUUUGUGUGAAGGUUUUGGUUCCAGCCCAGCACACCUAACACACCUUAUUCAAUUUAUCAAACCUAAUUAGUUGAUCAUUUAAGUGUGCUAUUGCUGGGCUGGAAUAUAAAUCUGCUCACUCAGUGGAGCAAGGUUGGCCACUGUUGGUAUGGACUUUUUUUUUUCUCACCUGAAAUGAUGCUCUGGUGAUGAUGGCCAAGGGGGUGGCAGGGUAGCCUAGUGGUUAGAGCGGUGGACUAGUUCAAAUCCCUAACCUAGUGGUUAGAGCUGCAAGAUAUAAUUCCUGUGCCAUUAUUUUAUAUUAUGUGAUUUUAUAGUAAGAAGAUUAUAAGUUAGCUGAAUAAAAUAUAAAGGAUCUUUUUUCCCAUUCCGGAGCAAGUGAAGUGGCUAUGUUGAGCGUAAAAGUUAAUAUUUGAAACUUAUCUAGCAUAUAGGACCUAUUUGGCAACUUUAGUUUUGAGUGAUACUAACCUCAGAAUGUCUUAGAAUCAAAAACGUAUAUGGGCUGCAUGAUGAUGAUGAUAAUAAUAGGCUAUUUGGAAAAAGCCUUGCCCCAGGCACAGCUGUUCUCUCAUCAAGUGAUCAUAUUGUCAUCCAUCAAGACUAUUCUCAAUUUAAAAAAUGUUUUACUAAUAUGUAAAAUUAGUUUACAUUUAGAAUGGCCCAUUAUCAAGUGGGCAGGGGGGAAAUUGUCAGCAGUAUGCACUCCAAUAGCAAAUAGAGGCCGCUUUCCCACCAGUUCGUUGUUCAAUGAUGCUGGGUAGGCUUCUUCGGUUUUAUAGCAGAGCAUGUGCUUAAUAUGAGCAGCUGAGAAAUAAACAAGAAAUAUAGUAGCAGCUGGGAUCCUCUUAUUUUUAGUGGCAACCAUCAAAACUCUGCUUUCAAACAUGAUUGCAUAUAGAAUUUCUGGUUUAUAAGAACACUUAUUUCACUCCACGCAUCAACUACCGUUUUUGGCGCAUGCUCUCGCUGCACAACCAGUGAUAUUCCACCCAAACUCUGUACGCCAUGGGCUCGCCCACCGUGUUCCCGCGGCUUUCCAAGUGCUUAAUUUGGUACGCCAAGUAAAAAUCUGUUCGUGAACAUCGAUAGUAACCUUUUCAGAAGGAAACAUAUUUCACUAUUCAACUGUUGACAGCCCCUAUCUCUGCAUGCUCGAGAGAGAAAGGAGAUGGACAUGUGCGGUGGGGAGAUAUUCUGUAUAGCUAAAGAUAAUGUGUCAGCCUAUUAUUUAUUAAAAUAUACAAAAAUCCCUAUUACUAUGCUUUUCAAAAUCAAAUCAAGUUCACUAUAAUUGUAGGCCAACUCUAUAAGACAACCUACACAAUCAAUGAACCAAAAGCAUCGCCUAAGCUUAUAUGUUCUCUCCCAGAUUCAUGGAUAUAAAGUUUGGAGCAUGGUAUUAGGUAAGCAGUCCAUCCGGUAUAAAUAAUAAUACAGUCCAAACUCAAAGGCGAUUAUUAUCAUUUGUUUAAUUUUGGAGUACAAGCUAAACUAAUUUAGCACCAAAGAUGUCUUAAAUCAGUUUUUAUGUAUGUUUUUCUGCCAUGCAUAAUAUGUGGUAGGCUAUGUAUUGUAUAUUGGCAUAAUCACGAUCUGAAUUUCGCAUAUAUUCUUUUCAGGCAUGGCAAGAGAAGUAGGUGAACCCAUUGAAAUUACCUGGAUUUAUGCAUAAAUUGGUCAUAAAAUUUGAUCUGAUCUUUAUCUAAACCAGAACAAUAGACACACAUCGUGUGCUUAAACUAAUAACACACAAAUUGUUGAAUGCUUUUGGUCUAUAUUGAAUACAUCAUUUAAAAAUUCCAAGUGUAGGUUGGAAACAGUAUGUGAACCCCGAGGCUAAUGACUUCUCCAAAAGCUAAUUGGAGUCGCGUCAGCUAACCUGGAGUUAAAUCAAUGAGACGAGAUUGGAGAUGUUGGUUUAGAGCUGCCUUUCCCUAUAAAAAACACUCUCAAAAUUUGAGUUUGCUAUUCACAAGAAACAUUGCCUGAUGUGAACCAUGCCCCGAACAGAUCUCAGAAGACCUAAGAUUAAGAAUAGUUGACUUGCAUAAAGCUGGAAAGGGUUACAAAAGUAUCCCUAAAAGCCUUUAUGUUCAUCAGUCCACGGUAAGGCAAAUUGUCUAUAAAUGGAGAAAGUUCAGCACUGUUGUCCUGCGAAGAUGACUGCAAGAGCAAAGCCACUGCUGUCCAAAAAAACAUUGCUGUAUGUCUGAAGUUUGCAAAAGUGCACUUGGAUGCUCUUGAGGUCAUGCAUCUCAAUCGGGUUGAGGUCAGGACUCUGACUGAGCCACUCCAGAAGGCAUAUUCUGUUGAAGCCAUUCUGUUGUUGAUUUACUUCUGUGUUUUGGGUUGUUGUCCUGUCGCAUUACCCAACUUCUGUUGACCUUCAAUUGGCAGUCAGAAAGCCUAACAUUCUUACGCAAAAUGUCUUGAUAAACUUGGGAAUUAAUUUUUCCAUCAACGAUCGCAAGCUGUCCAGGCCCUGAGGUAGCAAAGCAGCCCCAAACCAUGAUGCUCCCUCUACCAUACUUUACAAUUGGGAUGAGGUUUUGAUGUUGGUGUCCUGAAAAUCGAGUGCUGAGUAUCAGGCCAUUAGCGACCUGAUGGUCAUUAGUGAGUUGGGUACUAUCGAUUUGUGUCCAGAGUGCAUAAGAGGAGAUUACUCAGUGGUCACAUGGAAUUUUACUGUGACCAUGACUCAUGACUGCCGGUGUGGUGGUAAUGCAGUCACCGCAACAGCCCUAUUCAGUAAUCAUCUCACUUGUUAGCUGGCGGUAAACUAUGUGGCCAUUGACGACAGCAGUGUUGAUCAAAUGGAAAAAUAUAUUCUUAUACCACUUAUUGGUUUUUCUGAGCACAUCCCACAAAGAAGUUUAUCAUGUCUGCCUUAUCUGCUGCACCUAUUUUGCGGUUACGUUUAUAGUCAUGCAUACAGUCUGGUAUGGUGGUUCUCUCUUCUCCAGUAGCUCCAAGGCAUAGCGAUUGGUCUCCUCAACUAUUGUAUGUCUCAGUCAGAAACAACUUGAAGCACUCUGCCUCCAGAGGGAGAUGGCAAGGGUUUUUACACUGAAGACUGGGACUUAUUUACAGAUUUAUUCAGACGCUUAGCUAUGAGACUCGAUUUGGGCUCAGGUGCAUCCUGUUUCAAUUGAUCAUCCAUGAAUGGAGUCCACCUGUGGUAAAUUCAAUUGAUUGGAUAUGAUUUGUCUACAGUAUAUAAGUAUAUAAUACUUAUUUUCGACCAUAAUUUGCAAAUAAAUUCAUAAAUCCGACAAUGUGAUUUUUUUCUCUUUUUUUCUCUUUUUUUGUCUGUCAUAGUUGAAGUGUACCUAUGAUGAAAAUUACAGGCCUCUCAUCUUUUUAAGUGGGAGAACUUGCACAAUUGGUGGCUGACUAAAUACUUUUUUGCCCCACUGUAAGUAGGCUAGAAGGAUGUGUCUGCAUCGAGUAAUUGUCUCUGGCCCCCUCCCAAUUAUGGGGAGUGAUGAGCUCUACAGCAGGGUCUCACAACUCAAUCUCUGGUUGAAAACUGUAUUCUGCCCCUCCAAAAAGAUAGAAUUUGUAUACAAUUGGCCUCUAAACCUUCAAGCUGCAUACUGGACCCUAUUUCAACUAAACUACUGAAAGAGCUGCUUCCUGUGCUUGGUCCUCCUAUGUUGAACAUAAUAAUUCCUCUAAUUAUUUUGAAAAAAGCUGUUGCGCAGCAACUCACUCCCUUCUUGAAGACAAACAAUGUAUACAAAAUGCUUCAGUCUGGUUUUAGACCCCAUCAAGGCACUGAGACUGCACUUGUGAAGGCAGUACAUUACUUUUUAAUGGUGUCAGACUGAGGCUCUGCAUCUGUCCUCGUGCUCCUAGACCUUAGUGCUGCUCUUGAUACCACCGAUCACCACAUUCUUCUGGAGAGAUUGUAAACCGAAAUUGGUCUACACGGACAAGUUCUAGCCUAGUUUAGAUCUUAUCUGUCAAAGAUAUCAUUUUGUCUCUGGAUGGUUUGUCCUCUGACAAAUCAACUGUACAUUUCAGUGUUCCUCAAGGCUCCGUUUUAAGACCACUACUGUUUUCACUAUAUGUUUUACCUCUUGGUGAUGUCAUUCGGAAACAUGUUAACUUUCACUGCUAUGCAGACGACACACAGCUGUCAAUGAAUCAUGGUG
Molecule: long non-coding RNA, 7853 nt
Organism: Oncorhynchus keta (chum salmon)
Lineage: Eukaryota; Metazoa; Chordata; Actinopteri; Salmoniformes; Salmonidae
Exons: 4
Source: RefSeq, a predicted model, not a curated record